Molecule: unclassified non-coding RNA, 239 nt
Filed under: Funneliformis caledonium
Lineage: Eukaryota; Fungi; Glomeromycota; Glomeromycetes; Glomerales; Glomeraceae
Description: partial internal transcribed spacer 2
Source: RNAcentral
AGAACAAAAAUCGAAGCCGUCGCUCUUUACGAAAUAUUAUUAUAUUUUGUUUGGGUGAUCGCGUCGGAAUUGAGCCGUCUUUCAUAUGUUAAUUCAUGUCAAAGUGGCUUAAAAUUCAUCAAUCUGGUACGAUUUAAAGCGUAUUUAAGAUCAACCUUGAUUAAGAACGCGCGAUGACGUACCAUCUCAUGUAGUACGUUCGACCUGCUUGUCAGGCUCAUUCGUAUACGACAUUCAAC